GAUGAACGCUGGCGGCGUGCCUAAUACAUGCAAGUCGAGCGAACGGACGAGAAGCUUGCUUCUCUGAUGUUAGCGGCGGACGGGUGAGUAACACGUGGAUAACCUACCUAUAAGACUGGGAUAACUUCGGGAAACCGGAGCUAAUACCGGAUAAUAUUUUGAACCGCAUGGUUCAAAAGUGAAAGACGGUCUUGCUGUCACUUAUAGAUGGAUCCGCGCUGCAUUAGCUAGUUGGUAAGGUAACGGCUUACCAAGGCAACGAUGCAUAGCCGACCUGAGAGGGUAAUCGGCCACACGCGAACUGAGACACGGUCCAGACUCCUACGGGAGGCAGCAGUAGGGAAUCUUCCGCAAUGGGCGAAAGCCUGACGGAGCAACGCCGCGUGAGUGAUGAAGGUCUUCGGAUCGUAAAACUCUGUUAUUAGGGAAGAACAUAUGUGUAAGUAACUGUGCACAUCUUGACGGUACCUAAUCAGAAAGCCACGGCUAACUACGUG
RNAcentral lists this ribosomal RNA (497 nucleotides) under uncultured bacterium. RNAcentral's name for it is "partial 16S ribosomal RNA". It matches the Rfam family "Bacterial small subunit ribosomal RNA", at positions 28 to 507 of the family's 1533-position model. The record is from RNAcentral.